GGGGCGGUAGUUCAGUUGGGAGAACGCCUCGUUCGCAACGAGGAGGUCAGCGGUUCGAAUCCGCUUCGCUCCACCA
Molecule: transfer RNA, 76 nt
Filed under: Candidatus Omnitrophota bacterium
Lineage: Bacteria; Pseudomonadati; Candidatus Omnitrophota
Description: Candidatus Omnitrophica bacterium tRNA-Ala
Rfam family: tRNA
About the family: Transfer RNA (tRNA) molecules are approximately 80 nucleotides in length. Their secondary structure includes four short double-helical elements and three loops (D, anti-codon, and T loops).
Source: RNAcentral